RNAcentral lists this ribosomal RNA (776 nucleotides) under uncultured Neocallimastigales. RNAcentral's name for it is "partial large subunit ribosomal RNA". It matches the Rfam family "Eukaryotic large subunit ribosomal RNA", at positions 24 to 647 of the family's 3401-position model. The record is from RNAcentral. Lineage: Eukaryota; Fungi; Neocallimastigomycota; Neocallimastigomycetes; Neocallimastigales.
UAUGUGAUCGUCUCUCGCAUAUCAAUAAGCGGAGGAAAAGAAACUAACAAGGAUUCCCCUAGUAACGGCGAGUGAAGCGGGAAGAGCUCAAAUUUGAAAUCUUAAAGGGUUUCCCUUUACGAAUUGUAGUUUAAAGAAGUGUUUUCUGUUGAGGUUUUGGUAAAAGUUCUUUGGAAUAGGACAUCAUAGAGGGUGAGAAUCCCGUAUUUGACCUUUACUUUCAACUUUGUGAUACACUUUCAAAGAGUCGGAUUGUUUGGGAAUGCAGUCCAAAAUGGGUGGUAAAUUUCAUCUAAAGCUAAAUAUUGGCGAGAGACCGAUAGCGAACAAGUACCGUGAGGGAAAGAUGAAAAGAACUUUGAAAAGAGAGUUAAACAGUACGUGAAAUUGUCAAAAGGGAAGCGUUUGACACCAGUGUUGUUUUUUCUGAAAAUCAAUUAAAGAACUGUUUAUGCUAAGUCUGUUUAGACUUUAUCAGCUAACUGUUUAGUUUUGAGCUUUUCUUUAAUGCACUUUUCAGUUAACAAGUCAACAUCAAUUUCUUUUGCUGUAAAAAAGCUUGAGGAAGGUGGCUUGAGAUUCGUCUUAAGUGUUUAUAGCCUCUUGCCUAUGCAGUCGGAGAGAUUGAGGUCUGCAGCGUAGAUCCUUCGGGGCUAAAUGCAUUUGUGCUAAGUUAUAGCAUUUUAUAGACAACUUGUUGACUAUGAUUUGUCUUGUAGCUUACUCGCUUAUGUUAUUUUACCUACGCUUAGGAUGUUGACGAGACUGUCGAUCUC